Molecule: ribosomal RNA, 538 nt
Filed under: Ichthyophis multicolor
Lineage: Eukaryota; Metazoa; Chordata; Amphibia; Gymnophiona; Ichthyophiidae
Description: partial 16S ribosomal RNA
Rfam family: Bacterial large subunit ribosomal RNA
Source: RNAcentral
CGCCUCUAGCAAAACUAAUAUUAGAGGUACUGCCUGCCCAGUGACAACAUUCAACGGCCGCGGUACUUUGACCGUGCAAAGGUAGCAUAAUCACUUGUCUUCUAAAUAAAGACUAGUAUGAACGGCAAAACGAAGGUCUAACUGUCUCCUUUGUCCACUCAAUGAAAUUGAUAUCCCAGUACAAAAGCUGUAAUUAAACAACAAGACGAGAAGACCCUAUGGAGCUUAAAACACACUAGAAAGUACAGUAAAUUUUUACCAAUUUCAUGUACCAAUUCCACAAUGUUUUUGGUUGGGGCGACCACGGAGAACACUAAUCCUCCGAGAUGAUAUACCAGGAAGACAAUCCAAAAUAUCAGAAAACUGACAUAAUUGACCCAAUAACUUUGACCAACGAACCAAGUUACCCUAGGGAUAACAGCGCAAUCCUCUUCAAGAGCCCAUAUCGACAAGAGGGUUUACGACCUCGAUGUUGGAUCAGGAUAACCUGACAGUGUAACCGCCGUCAAAGGUUUGUUUGUUCAACAAUUAAAAUCCU